This 377-nucleotide ribosomal RNA is filed under the name uncultured eukaryote. RNAcentral describes it as "partial 18S ribosomal RNA". It matches the Rfam family "Eukaryotic small subunit ribosomal RNA", at positions 592 to 976 of the family's 1831-position model. The record is from RNAcentral.
CAAUAGCGUAUAUUUAAGUUGCUGCAGUUAAAAAGCUCGUAGUUAGAUUUCGGGUGGGAAUGGCCGGUCCGCCGUUUCGGUGUGCACUUGCUACGCCCACCUUGCUGCCGGGGACGUGCUCUUGAGUUCACGCUCGGGACACGGAGUCGGCGAGGUUACUUUGAGUAAAUUAGAGUGUUCAAAGCAGGCCUACGCUCUGAAUACAUUAGCAUGGACUAACACGAUAGGACUCUGGCCUAUCUUGUUGGUCUGUAGGACCGGAGUAAUGAUUAAGAGGGACAGUCGGGGGCAUUCGUAUUUCAUUGUCAGAGGUGAAAUUCUUGGAUUUAUGAAAGACGAACUACUGCGAAAGCAUUUGCCAAGGAUGUUUUCAUUAA